GCUCACAGAUCUGGCAUGGAGACAAUUUGGAGUAAAGAACAGCUGGAGUAGUGGAGGCACACCAGAGGCGAAGGAUGAGAUAGCGGAGACAUGCCGCAUGUAGUGACGAGGCGGAGGAGUGACGAACCGGAGGCGAGGUGUGACGAACCGCAGGCAGAGGCGCGACUAACCGAAUGCAGAGGCGCGACGAAUUGAGGCAGUGACGUUACAAACCAGAGGCUGAGGCGGAGCUGUGCCGGCGAAGUUAAAUCUCCGGUCAAGCUCACGCUUUUGUAUAUAUGUUAUAUGUAUGAUAUAUAAAUAUGUAUAUGACACCAUAUAUACGAAAAACAUAUUUGUAUUGUUUUUUAAUUCAUUAAUUCUUAAUUUACUAAUUAUAUUUUUUUUUGUUUUUUUUUAAUAAAUAGUCACGGAAUAGUCACAAACACUAAGCGUGAUAAAUAUAAACCACGAAAAAUAACAGUGUCAAAAACGUGACUGUUUUAUACACGUUUAGUCACGGUAAAUUUUGGUCACGAUCGUAUACACACGAAAUUUUUUCGUGACUUUUCGUGUCUACAUCAAUGUAUAGUCACGAAAAAUUAGCGUUAGUCAUGAAAAUUUUCGUGUCUAUAUAACAUUUUUCUACUAGUGCUAAUCACUUGAGUCACAACUUUUCGACCUCGACUAGGCAGCUUUCCUCAACCGCUUGCUCUCUGGAAAACAUUCUUUCUACAAUAUGAAAAAACACAGUUGUGAGAAAUGGCAUGCAUACAAUUUUGUCUUUCUGGUAAAAUCUUAUUAAAUUAAUCAUUGAGGGAAAAAAAAAACUUGCCUUUAGCCAGUACAGUCGCCGCUUCUCGGAAGCUUCAACAUGCUCAGUAAUACCCUCCUCCUGCUUGCUAAAAUGGUUAGACAAAAACGUAUUGAUUACAAAAAGAGAGAGAGAGAGAGAGGAUGCUUACUAGGGAGAUAUGUUUUUUACUCGAGAGAUGCUUCAUGAAUUUAUCCAGGCGUUUGCGCUUAGAGAAGCACAUUUUGCAAUAAAACAUUCCGGUAGACUCAACAACGCUUUCACUACUUCCACUGCACUUCCGAAGAACAUGUCUUUUGGUCUCUGAAACUAAUAGCUUUAAGAGAUUAGUUUGGUGGUUAUAUAUAUAUAUAUAUAUAUGGAAGUGGAUAGAAGAGAGGUAAUAAAACAAAACACCUGCAAGUAAGCUAUCCCAGAGCCACUCGGCAGAAGUGAGCAUGACUGACAUUUUCCAAGGCCUAAAAGAAUAAGCCCAAAACAGGUUGUAUUUCUUUAGUUGUUUUAGCCUGGCAAGACUACCUCCUAACAAAUAUUCAGCCCCAUCCGAUAUGAUCAUCAUUGUAGUCGGAGUAGGAUUGUUAUCUCGCCAUAGCUUCAAAUCAUCAAACAUGCGACUGUAUAUGAAUUCUGUUGUUUCAACAAAACAAAAGGUAAAUUGCAUGCAAGGGAUAGUUGCUAAUUUAUUUUUAUUUUUUUAAAUUCCAAAUGGACUAACCCGGAAGGGCAUGUGCAACAUCGAUUCCAGUGGAAGAGAGGGCAUGAAGGUGGCGUUCAGGGGUUUGUUUAUGGUCACCAAAGGCAGUGAUGGAGACAGGACCAGAGUAGCCUAGUUCCUUGAAAGCUCCUUCCAAACUGGGACGGACCCGACGAGCAUCAUAACCGUCGGGAAUAGGACACUCAGACAUGUCCCAACACACAUGGAUUUUAGCUGUCGCAUAUUCAGGCGUCGCAGCAUAGUUCUUCCCCCACCUCUUCGUUACAGAUAUAAGUUGUGUAGGCUGAGGGUUUAACACCUCCUGUAAAACCAAUAUGUUUUAACUCUUAAUUAAACUGAUUUUUUUUUUUUAAUAAUUAAGCAGAGAGAGAGCGAAAGGAUGGUUACUUCUAUUGCAUGCUUUUUAGUGGAGAGAUGCUUUUUGAAACUCUUCACGCUUUGGCAAUCCAAAGAGCAAAAUUCGCAAUGAAACACGGUAGAUAAUUCACCCGCCGUGUCUACGCUUGUCGACGUCGUCCCAUGUAGUAAUUUUUCCCAGAGCCACUCUUUGCGAGUGUACACGAACAAUGCUGCGACAGGCCUAAUUGAAUAAGCCAGAAAAAUGUUGUAACUCGUGCGUUGUUGUAGCCGGGCCAGAUCCCAGUUGAAGACAUCUAGCAUCUGAUUGGUUAUGAUCAUCAUUGUAGCCGGAGGAGGAUUAUCCUCUCGCCAUUUCACCAUAUCAAGGUACAUGACUGCGCACGUGCUUUCUGUUUCAUUACAAAGGAAACAUACUCACUAUAGAUACACAAGAUCUAACUAUAACAUUUUUUAUAUUUAUGAUAUAACAACUAAUUGGACUAACCAGAUCCGAUAUGUACCACCGCGACUCCAGUGGAAGAUAGAGCUCGUAGCACGUGUUCUCACUAGUAGAAAUUACUCCUAUAGUCACGUUUUAGUCACUUAUGUGUGUGACUAUUUUUUGAUUAGUCACGAAAAAGUCUCGAUUAGUCACAAAAUAUGAAAAUAGGAAAAAACGUGACUAAUCGUGUCAUUUCCGUGGCACUAAUAGUCAUGUUUUUGUCACAAAAGAUAAUGUGACUAGAUAUAGACACGUUUUGCCACAAUAAUUUCGUGACUAAUCGGACAUAAUUAAAAACCGUGACCAGAUGGUGUUACUUUUUUUAAGUAGUCAUGAAUUUGUCACAUUUUGUUCACGACUAUUUAAAUCUCUAAACCCUAAGUGAAAUUUUGAAACCCUAAACUCUGAAUAUGCAAUGUAGUUUACUAUAUUAUAGCUUAAACUAAGAUCUAACUCUUAUACAGAGUUAAAAGAUUUUAAUUUCUUUUUUCAAAUCAUAACUUUAAACAUAACCACAAACCCUACUUCAAACCCUACUUUAAACCUUACCACAAACCUUAUCCAAACAUCAAAACUUAAAUAAUAAAAUGACUCAAAUAUAAAAAUUCUAGUUAGUUAAAAAUGUAAAUAAAAAAUAUAAUUUUAUAUAUACUCAGAAGUCAAAUUUGUAGUUUAAAAACAAUUUUUAAUUUUUCUCCUUUUAAAUGUGAACUAAAUCAUUUUAAAUAUGGAUUGAAUCCUUUAAAAUUUUAAAUUCCUCAAUUUUGAAGUUAACUUCUACAUUACAUUUUUAAAUUUUAUAUCUAAUAAUCUAAAUUAUCUGAAAACUAUGAACCAAAUACCUAGAAAUAACAACCUAACGAUAAUAACAAAAUACAUAUAAUGGUAGAGGAUGCAUGUGUUACAAAGAAAAAAGAAAACAAAGUCGGGAAAAAAAGAAAAAAAAAGAAAGAAAGAUAAAAGCAAGAUACUUUAGUGAAAUUUUCUCAUUGGUCUAUACCUUUUGACAAGGAUAACUGUCUUAACCAUUGAUCAAUUUGAUCUAAUGGCUCAUAUUACUUCCUUCCUUUUUCUCUCGUUCUCCCAUGUACCUUUUCCUCUGUAAACAAGUAUUAUCUUCUUCUACAAACGAUUCUCUUCCUCUUAACACAAACAAAUCGAUUUCAUCGAUUCUGGUCACCUAAUUCCUUUCUUCUACUCCACUCACAUAAUCUUUUCAUCAACCACUAUCGUAUUUUAUCAAACCGAAUCUCUUCCUUCUGCCAUCACCAGAUCUCCUUCACUGUCUACCAAAUCUACUCCUACGAUACGAUGUUGUUGUUGCGCCAGAGACUGGUGUGAGAUGCAGUUAUCGUCGGAGUUGUUCGGCAUCAGAUCUAGAUCGUACAAACAUCCCGGCUCACAGAUCUGGCAUGGAGACAAUUUGGAGUAAAGAACAGCUGGAGUAGUGGAGGCACACCAGAGGCGAAGGAUGAGAUAGCGGAGACAUGCCGCAUGUAGUGACGAGGCGGAGGAGUGACGAACCGGAGGCGAGGUGUGACGAACCGCAGGCAGAGGCGCGACUAACCGAAUGCAGAGGCGCGACGAAUUGAGGCAGUGACGUUACAAACCAGAGGCUGAGGCGGAGCUGUGCCGGCGAAGUUAAAUCUCCGGUCAAGCUCACGCUUUUGUAUAUAUGUUAUAUGUAUGAUAUAUAAAUAUGUAUAUGACACCAUAUAUACGAAAAACAUAUUUGUAUUGUUUUUUAAUUCAUUAAUUCUUAAUUUACUAAUUAUAUUUUUUUUUGUUUUUUUUUAAUAAAUAGUCACGG
RNAcentral lists this long non-coding RNA (4159 nucleotides) under Brassica napus (rape). RNAcentral's name for it is "long non-coding RNA (BNAP_LNC001868)". The record is from RNAcentral. Lineage: Eukaryota; Viridiplantae; Streptophyta; Magnoliopsida; Brassicales; Brassicaceae.